Molecule: long non-coding RNA, 409 nt
Filed under: Zonotrichia albicollis (white-throated sparrow)
Lineage: Eukaryota; Metazoa; Chordata; Aves; Passeriformes; Passerellidae
Description: lncRNA (ENSZALG00000012942.1)
Source: RNAcentral
UAGUAAAUGUCUUAUUGCACUGGGAAGAUAGGGAAGAAAAAUAGUAACUGACACUCUGCUUCAUUCCAGGUGGGAGUAAAAAACAACAGUUUUCCUCACCGUUUACAAGCCAGUUAAGAAUUUGACUGACAGAAUGUUGGCACCAGCUGUGGCAGAACUGAUCAGCCUCAACUCCAAAUCUCUAUCCUGAGACAAAACAACAGGAUGUGCCUUGGAGAAGAAAUUCCCUGAAAUUGAGUAUAUGAUACAUUUUUCAAGAGAAUUUUAGCUGACACCAAUGAUAAACUUGCAUCAGUUUGUCUUAUGCCAAAGAAAUACUCUUUGAUGAGAAGAAAAUGAAGAAUUGUUCAUGGAGAGAAACUAGGUAAGUAUGAAUUUUGUUUUUUUAUUUGCAAAGUGACAGUCUGAU